This 570-nucleotide ribosomal RNA is filed under the name Salmonella enterica subsp. enterica serovar Agona. Its description in RNAcentral is "bacterial SSU rRNA". It matches the Rfam family "Bacterial small subunit ribosomal RNA", at positions 110 to 676 of the family's 1533-position model. Lineage: Bacteria; Pseudomonadati; Pseudomonadota; Gammaproteobacteria; Enterobacterales; Enterobacteriaceae. The record is from RNAcentral.
GUAAUGUCUGGGAAACUGCCUGAUGGAGGGGGAUAACUACUGGAAACGGUGGCUAAUACCGCAUAACGUCGCAAGACCAAAGAGGGGGACCUUCGGGCCUCUUGCCAUCAGAUGUGCCCAGAUGGGAUUAGCUUGUUGGUGAGGUAACGGCUCACCAAGGCGACGAUCCCUAGCUGGUCUGAGAGGAUGACCAGCCACACUGGAACUGAGACACGGUCCAGACUCCUACGGGAGGCAGCAGUGGGGAAUAUUGCACAAUGGGCGCAAGCCUGAUGCAGCCAUGCCGCGUGUAUGAAGAAGGCCUUCGGGUUGUAAAGUACUUUCAGCGGGGAGGAAGGUGUUGUGGUUAAUAACCGCAGCAAUUGACGUUACCCGCAGAAGAAGCACCGGCUAACUCCGUGCCAGCAGCCGCGGUAAUACGGAGGGUGCAAGCGUUAAUCGGAAUUACUGGGCGUAAAGCGCACGCAGGCGGUCUGUCAAGUCGGAUGUGAAAUCCCCGGGCUCAACCUGGGAACUGCAUUCGAAACUGGCAGGCUUGAGUCUUGUAGAGGGGGGUAGAAUUCCAGGUGU